Molecule: long non-coding RNA, 333 nt
Organism: Lucilia cuprina (Australian sheep blowfly)
Lineage: Eukaryota; Metazoa; Arthropoda; Insecta; Diptera; Calliphoridae
Exons: 3
Source: RefSeq, a predicted model, not a curated record
AAUCAGGCAGUCUAUGUUCGAUCGUGGCAUAAUGAAGUCGUAUGUGACGCACACCACAAUACUGGACCCAAGUGUGUCCCCGGUGAAGACAUCGCGAGGACAACCUGCUAACCUUACCUAUAUCUGAGUAUCACAAAGGGUUCAAUAUACUGUGGGAUGGGUUCAUGCAACCCGAAAAGAACAAUCAGGCAGUCUGUAUUCGAUCGUUGCAUAAUGAAGACUUUUAUUUUUUAUAUUAUCAAUAAAUGUUCUUAAUAAACUACGGAUUAUUUAAUUGAAAACUAAAACGUAAACUCAACAAUACUGGACCCAAGUGAAGACAACGUGAGGACA